This is a long non-coding RNA of Sinocyclocheilus anshuiensis, 93 nucleotides long. RefSeq lists it as uncharacterized. The record is from RefSeq and is a predicted model, not a curated record. The transcript has 3 exons. Lineage: Eukaryota; Metazoa; Chordata; Actinopteri; Cypriniformes; Cyprinidae.
CGAGACACCAUGGAGGAACCUGACCAUCAUCACAUCUGCCCUGCUGAAUGUGCUUCUGAUCAUUGCAUUAAUAGGCUUGGUAAAGAGGUAUCU